CAAUAGUAGCACUUCAAAUGAAUACUUCACCCGAAAACUAUGCAUUUUGUAUCUUCUUCUCACCCUGACUUAUCUUGAAUG
Long non-coding RNA from Myripristis murdjan (pinecone soldierfish), 81 nucleotides. RefSeq lists it as uncharacterized. Lineage: Eukaryota; Metazoa; Chordata; Actinopteri; Holocentriformes; Holocentridae. The transcript has 3 exons. The record is from RefSeq and is a predicted model, not a curated record.